This 443-nucleotide ribosomal RNA is filed under the name uncultured eukaryote. Its description in RNAcentral is "eukaryotic LSU rRNA". It matches the Rfam family "Eukaryotic large subunit ribosomal RNA", at positions 1354 to 1777 of the family's 3401-position model. The record is from RNAcentral.
AUUAAGAUAAAUGCUAAAAUCUUAAUGAGUAGGAGGGCGUAUGGAUAAUUUAGAAGAUUGACAGUGAUGUUGAUUGGAAUUAUCUUUAGUGCAGAUCUUGGUGGUAGUAGCAAAUAUUCAAUAGAGAACAUUGAAGACUGAAGUGGAGAAAAGGUUUCACAUGAACAACACUUGGAUGUGAGUUAGUCGAUCCUAAACGGUGGGUUAACUCCGAAUACAUAGAUACUUGUAUCUUGUACCGUGAAAGGGAAACAGGUUAAUAUUCCUGUACUAUAUCAAGGAGGUAAAGUGGCAACACAAAUGAACUCAAAUACAUCAGUAGAAUAACCAGGAAGAGUUCUCUUUUCUUUUUAACGACUUUCUCCGCAAGGGGUGUAUAAUGACCAUGGAAUCAAUUUAGUUGGAGAAAUGGUUAAAGAGUCGGUAGAGUAAAUCAAUUUCUG